AUCCAGCUGACGAGUCCUAAAUAGGACGAAAUGCGCGUCCUGAAU
RNAcentral lists this non-coding RNA (45 nucleotides) under Schistosoma margrebowiei. Lineage: Eukaryota; Metazoa; Platyhelminthes; Trematoda; Strigeidida; Schistosomatidae. The record is from RNAcentral.